RNAcentral lists this long non-coding RNA (246 nucleotides) under Mytilus galloprovincialis (Mediterranean mussel). The record is from RNAcentral. Lineage: Eukaryota; Metazoa; Mollusca; Bivalvia; Mytilida; Mytilidae.
GUGUUAAUGCUAAUACAACUGCAUACCAAAUAUCAUUGACCUUCGAUUAGUGGUGCUCCAUAAACUGACCUUAUCACAAACUAAUACAUGAAAAUUAAGCAAAAGUUGCAAAGUCAAUAGACCAUGACUGAUGGGACAGGGCCAAAUAAUCUCUAUGGAAAUGAGAUAAGCCAAUGCUUACACACAUGCUUACAUGUGUGUUAACACUUACAAGUAGGUGUAUUGCAUUCAGCAUGGCUAUCAUUG